RNAcentral lists this long non-coding RNA (1320 nucleotides) under Carassius auratus (goldfish). RNAcentral's name for it is "lncRNA (ENSCARG00000031599.1)". Lineage: Eukaryota; Metazoa; Chordata; Actinopteri; Cypriniformes; Cyprinidae. The record is from RNAcentral.
AUGUGCUUUCAGAUCUCUACUAUCACUACUAACACUCGGAGAGCACGCUAUGUACGUCGCAGGAAGGCCUGUCUGACAAACCUACGCCAUGUCCCUCUGACCUCCACUACUACGCUCUCUAUUCCAGUUGGUCUCUGGUACUGCCAGUCUGCAGUUAACAAAGCAGACUUCAUUUCUUCUAUUGCUACUCAUUCCGGUCUCAACCUCAUGGCACUGACAGAGACUUGGAUCAAACCUGAAGAUACUGCCACCCCUGCAGCCCUCUCCACUAAUUUCACUUGUUCCCACACUCCUCGUACCACUUGGAGGGGUGGAGGUAUGGGUCUCCUUAUAUCCAAAGAAUGGAAAUUUGAUCUUCAGCAAUCACCUACAGGUACUGGUUCAUUUGAAUCACAUGCCAUUACUGUAACCCACCCUGUUAAAAUCCACUUUGUGGUCAUUUAUCGUCCCCCAGGUCAACUGGGAAACUUCUUGGAAGAGGUGGAUGUGCUGCUAUCAAACUUUCCUGAAGAUGGUACUCCUCUGGUACUGCUUGGUGACUUCAACAUCCACCUAGAUAAACCCCAGGCUGCUGACUUCAAAACUCUGCUCACCUCAUUUGAUCUCAAGCUAGUGUCUACUACAGCGACUCACAAAUCAGGCAACCAACUGGACCUCAUCUACACGCGCUGUUGCUCUGUGGACACCUCUUCAGUUGCUCCACUGCACACCUCUGACCACUUCCUCAUUACUGCUAACCUAGCACUUACUCCUGAAGUGGCACACACUCCAACGCAGGUCACCUUUCGACGGAACCUAUGCUCACUCUCUCCAUCUCGCCUAUCUGCUCUGGUUUCAUCCUCUCUUCCACCACUCUCUCAGUUUUCUGCUCUGGACACGAACAGUGCUACGGACACUCUUUGCUCCACUUUAACAUCUAGCUUGGACAACUUUUGCCCACUGUUGUCUAGACCAGCACACACUGCUCCAUCUGCCCCCUGGCUGUCCGAGGUUCUCCGUGAACAUCGCUCUAAACUGAGGGUUGCAGAGAGGAAAUGGCAGAAAUCAAAAAACUCUACGGACCUCAGUGUGUAUCAAUCUCUCCUCUCUUCCUUCUCUGCAAAUUUUUUCACAGCUAAAACAUCCUACUACCGCAACAAAAUUAACAGCUGCUGUGAUGCUCGGACACUCUUCAAGACUUUCUCUUCUCUUUUAAUCCGCCGCCUCCACCUCCUCCAUCGACUCUUACAGCGGACGACUUUGCAGCUUUUUUCACAAAUAAGACAAGAUCCAUCAGUGACCAAUUCUCCCCACUGCAGACUGAGGACAACUUCACAAUGA